UUAAUCGUCAACACAGGCAGCCAACACAAAUCGCUGCUCGCCAGAGAAGUACAGGUGAAAAACCAGAAACUCAAAGGACUUGGCGGUGUCUCACACCAACCUAGAGGAGCCUGUCCCAUAAUCGAUACCCCACGUUAAACCUAACCUACCUUUGCCUACCAGUCUAUAUACCGCCGUCGCCAGCCUGCCUAAUGAUAGAUACACAGCAGGCAAAAUAGUCUUCACUAGCACGUCAGGUCAAGGUGUAGCUAAUAGGUAGGUUUCAGAUGGGCUACAUUUUCUAAACACAAGAAAACCACCACACGCACUAUGAAAUAUAAGCCGCAAGGCGGAUUUAGCAGUAAGCCGGGCAAGAAAGCCCAGCUGAAAGCUGCCCUGAGACAC
This 384-nucleotide ribosomal RNA is filed under the name Ptyodactylus cf. hasselquistii. Its description in RNAcentral is "partial 12S ribosomal RNA". It matches the Rfam family "Bacterial small subunit ribosomal RNA", at positions 832 to 1382 of the family's 1533-position model. The record is from RNAcentral. Lineage: Eukaryota; Metazoa; Chordata; Lepidosauria; Squamata; Phyllodactylidae.